Molecule: non-coding RNA, 199 nt
Organism: Pseudonaja textilis
Lineage: Eukaryota; Metazoa; Chordata; Lepidosauria; Squamata; Elapidae
Source: RefSeq, a predicted model, not a curated record
AAAAGAAAUCCUUUAUUGAGAUGAGACAAUUCAUGUAGGGUUUCAAAGCAGAGUCUAAAUACUCCCAGGCAUGCAAUAAUAGUUAGGACCCCUCCCCUUAUUUAGAUGUGUAUUUUGUCAAGCAAAGAACCAACGUGUUAAUUCCCCCCUCCCCUUCUCUGAGAACGUAUCUUUUGAAGAGUUCCCAGGGAGUAUCUUC